This 310-nucleotide ribosomal RNA is filed under the name uncultured eukaryote. RNAcentral's name for it is "partial 18S ribosomal RNA". It matches the Rfam family "Eukaryotic small subunit ribosomal RNA", at positions 1470 to 1796 of the family's 1831-position model. The record is from RNAcentral.
CCCUUAGAUGUUCUGGGCUGCACGCGUGCUACACUGAUUACUUCAACAAGUGUUUUAACUGGAGAGUUUGCGUAAUCCUGAAAUGUUAUCGUGAUGGGAGUAGAGUAUUGUAUUUGUUAAUCUUUAACGAGGAAUUCCUAGUAAGUGUAGGUUUAUAAGUUGUUCUGAUUACGUCCCUGCCCUUUGUACACACCGCCCGUCGCUCCUACCGAUUGGUUGAUCCGGUGAAUUACAUAGAAUUUUGCGUUUUACAUGACGGAAGAUGAAGUGUUUUAAACCUUAUCAUUUAGAGGAAGGAGAAGUCGUAACA